UCUGGUCUGCAGGGAGCCGGAGAGGCCGACCGGCCCUGGGCUCUGUGUGGAGCUGUGUGGCGCUGACGGAUCCUGCAGCGAGGGAGAAAAGUGCUGCAGUAACGGGUGUGGCCACCAGUGCAUGCGAGUGUCUGGAGGGUCUCCCUAGCGCCCGCCUGCCGGAACCCCGACGCCAGAGGGGAUGCGCCGCCUCCACCCCGCUGACCGGCGCAAGGCGACUGCUGAGAUCGGCUCCCGCUGC
This is a long non-coding RNA of Pelodiscus sinensis (Chinese soft-shelled turtle), 241 nucleotides long. RefSeq lists it as uncharacterized. The record is from RefSeq and is a predicted model, not a curated record. NCBI's taxonomy places the organism in Eukaryota, Metazoa, Chordata, Testudines, Trionychidae.